CUGGCUCCUCCUCCUCCUCCACCUGCCAAUCCACAGCCAAUGCCUAAUCCAGCACCACCUAGUCCGCAAAAAGCUAGUGCAGCAACUUCAAAUAUUGGAUGGUAAUCAUUCACAAGUUGAUUCUUAAUGCUAAUUAUAAAAUGAUAGUAUUUUUUAUUUUAUGGUUUAAGGGUACAAAAUAAGCAGAAUAAAGAAGAGGUAAAUCCACUGGAAAAACUAUAACAUUAUUACUUACUUCCUGAAUUGCAUAUGCAGUUAUCUAAAAAUUUCAUUCUUCCAUGCAUAAUAAUGAACUACUGGUCUAAUACUUCCCCUCUUUAAAUUAGCUUGUCACGAUUGAAUUUAAAAGUACAGAAAUUUUUUAGGACUUCAACUAUUUACGAUGAUAAUGGCUUGGAUUAGACGAGGUGCGAUUGUAUAAGCUUACCAAAUAACUCUUGAUAUUUAACAGUAGCGUAAUAUCUAGAAGUAAAUGUCUAUUUUUUUCAAAGAGAAUUUGAACUUAGAACCUCUAUAUUCUAGGGAAAGGUGACAUUUGUGAUGAUUUUGAAAAGGUGAUUUCAUUUUAGGACAUCCAAUAAACAGAAAUAUAAUAGACUAGCUUUGGAUUGAAGGGAGGAUAUAUCUACAUGUGAAUUACUAUGGUUUAGGAAGAAGAUACAUUUCUGGGAUAAAAUUGAUUUCUAUAUCAUUUUUCUAAUAUCCUCAUUUGCACUUUGUCAGGUUUCUAAUCGUCCUUGGCUUUCUCAUGGCUCUAUAGAUGAAGCACUAAUUGCUGCGGAUAGUGAUCAGGGAUAAUGAAACAGAAAUUUUCCGAUAAUUGCUG
Molecule: long non-coding RNA, 826 nt
Filed under: Coffea arabica (coffee)
Lineage: Eukaryota; Viridiplantae; Streptophyta; Magnoliopsida; Gentianales; Rubiaceae
Description: long non-coding RNA (CARA_LNC006830)
Source: RNAcentral